CCUCACCAGAGAAGCUGUGGGUUCCCCAUCCCUGGAAGUGUUCAAGGACUUGGAGCAACCAGAUCUAUUGGAAGUAGCACCUAGUGGCCAGGGCUAUGAAAACACACAGAAAAAAGAAGAAUUCCUGCCAAAAAACCCCUAAAUACUGCUGAGCUCAACCAAGAAACAACAGGUGGUCAUGUAUGACUGCUGCAGCCAGCACAAGGGAUGAAAGAAAUAAUCAGAGGAAAAAUGAGCUCGUUUCUGUCAUCUGCUGCCACCAUCUGCAAAUCCAGCAGCAACAUCUUUGAAAUAGAGGAUUAAAUCCACCCACUUCUCUUGUUUCUGCCUUCCCUCCCAGUGUGGUGGGUGGUUAUGAGCCAGCAAGGGGGCAGCUGG
Long non-coding RNA from Cyanistes caeruleus (blue tit), 378 nucleotides. RefSeq lists it as uncharacterized. NCBI's taxonomy places the organism in Eukaryota, Metazoa, Chordata, Aves, Passeriformes, Paridae. The record is from RefSeq and is a predicted model, not a curated record.